GGGCCAAAAGAAUUGCUCGAGUCCAAAGGCCAAAGCUCUACAUCUUCAAACACCAACCGGGUUUACCAAGCCAAGAAAUCAACCAAGGUAUCAAGAAAACAAGCAUCCAAAUUCAAACUAGAUGCAAAAUUCAGGUCAAACGCGAAGACUCACCCUCGGCGCCGGAAGAUCCCUCUCAGUGGCCGCGCAAGCAAACGCGAAUCCGUGUCUUGUGCUCUGUUGUUGAUGCGUGAUGAGGACUUUGUGUUGUUGAUGGUUAUGAAGAGCUUCAUGUUAUUGAUGACGAAGAGUGAAUGAGUGUUCUUGUUGUUGAUGACAAAGAGUGAAGGAGUGUUCUUGAGUAUGGAAAUCGUUGAACCCUCUUCUUCAAUUCUUUUCUACUAUUUUGUUCUCUUCGCCCUCCCCAAAAAAUCCGUGAGUUUCUUUUUCCUUCUUUUCUGUUAGAAAAUCUCAUCUACUCUCUGUUUUUGUUUCCGUUAGGAUGCCCUCCCCUUUUGUGAAUUCGGUUUCAGUCGAUUUUGUGGUUCUCUUGGUCAGUAGGGUUAGGAGUUCCCGUUCAGAAUCAAAGAGGUUUCAAGCCGUUGAGGGUUCUAAUUAUGUUGGUUUUGUUUUUGGAGGUUGGGGAGUGAAGUAGAGGGAGUUGAAAUUCGGUUUGAGGUUCUCUUGAUGGAAGGUUCCUCGAAGGGUUGUUGGAGUGUAUUGGUUUUUGCGGUUCCUUUCAGUUAUGGGUUGUGUGGAGGUUCUUUCUGUUAUGGAAGGUUGUUAGUAGGUUGAAGAAUAAAGGAGUUUGUUCGAGUUUGGAUUUGUUUAGAAGGGGUUGUUAGUUGGAGGGAGCAGUUAGAGUUGGUUCGAGUGAGGGUAGUUUGUGGGAGGUUACGGUUUCUGUUAGAGACAGUCGGGGUCGGUUCUGAAUCGGAGUUAUCAAUGUUGAGGUUCAAAAUUAUUUUGGAAGCAGUUAGGAGCUAUUGGUUGGAAAAGUUUCUGUUUUGGACGGGGAUUGUGAAUGGUUGAAAAUUGUUGUGAAUCCCUCUUGUGCAAAUCUAUUAUGGAUUUUUUUGAAGGUUAUGGUUCAGUUAUUUCAUGUUAUGAAGCAGCUAUAUUACAAGUAACAUUCUGAAAUUUUUGUUGCUCUUCAAUAGGUGUAUCCAUCAUUCCAGAGCUCCAACAUUGUUGUUGCGAGAUCUUGGAGCCUUUUUGAUGCUUAAAGAAUGGUUCCGAAGAAUUUCCUCGGAUUAACUCACAAGAAUGAUGGUCGAAGAGGUAAUGCAGUUGACUGCUUCCAAGCAGCUUAAAAUAUUUCCUUCUUGUCAUAAGCAAUAUUUUCAUGGUAAAACUGUAUAGAAAAAACUAGCUAGUGUUCAUCUGUUUGAUAUUGUUGUAAUUUUCAUUGUAAUGUAAUAUUUAUUAUAAUGAAUGGAAUUUGUAAUGUAAUUUUGAAAUAGAAUGGAUUUGUGAUGGUAAUUAGAACUCACAUUGUAUUUGAAUGGUUCGAAUGGGAAUUCAAUGUAUAUGAAAUGGUUUAUAAUGGAAAUGGUGAAUUGAAAUGAACUUGGUUAUGGUUUGAAAUAAGUGUGGUUAAAAAUGGUUAUGAUGUGAAAAUGAAUCAUGGAUUAAAAAUGAACUUUGGUUAGAUGGUUGACUUUGCUGAACUGGUUGACCAAAAAGUCAACAGUUGAUCAAAAAUUAACUUAGGUAAAAAUAUGUAUUUUCUUAUGGAAAAUUAAAUCUGGACCACAAUGCCU
Molecule: long non-coding RNA, 1742 nt
Filed under: Lathyrus oleraceus (garden pea)
Lineage: Eukaryota; Viridiplantae; Streptophyta; Magnoliopsida; Fabales; Fabaceae
Description: Pisum sativum (pea) long non-coding RNA (PSAT_LNC003537)
Source: RNAcentral